This 259-nucleotide ribosomal RNA is filed under the name uncultured Glomus. Its description in RNAcentral is "partial 18S ribosomal RNA". It matches the Rfam family "Eukaryotic small subunit ribosomal RNA", at positions 624 to 886 of the family's 1831-position model. The record is from RNAcentral. Lineage: Eukaryota; Fungi; Glomeromycota; Glomeromycetes; Glomerales; Glomeraceae.
AAGCUCGUAGUUGAAUUUCGGGGUUAGUAGGUUGGUCAUGCCUCUGGUAUGUACUGGUCUCACUGAUUCCUCCUUCCUUAUGAACCGUAAUGCCAUUAAUUUGGUGUUGCGGGGAAUUUGGACUGUUACUUUGAAAAAAUUGAGUGUUUAAAGCAAGCUAACGCUUGAAUACAUUAGCAUGGAAUAAUGAAAUAGGACGUUCGAUCUUAUUUUGUUGGUUUCUAGGGUUGACGUAAUUUGAUUAAUAGGGAUAGUUGGG